ACGUAGGAGGCGAGCGUUGUCCGGAGUUACUGGGCGUAAAGCGCGCGCAGGCGGCCCUGUGCGCUGCCGGUGAAAGCUCCCGGCUUACCUGGGAGAGGUUCGGCAGGACGGCAGGGCUGGAGGGUGGGAGAGGUCGGUGGAAUUCCCGGUGUAGUGGUGAAAUGCGUAGAGAUCGGGAGGAACACCCGUAGCGAAGGCGGCCGACUGGACCACACCUGACGCUGAGGCGCGAAGGCCAGGGGAGCGAACGGGA
RNAcentral lists this ribosomal RNA (253 nucleotides) under uncultured prokaryote. RNAcentral describes it as "partial 16S ribosomal RNA". It matches the Rfam family "Bacterial small subunit ribosomal RNA", at positions 525 to 777 of the family's 1533-position model. The record is from RNAcentral.